RNAcentral lists this ribosomal RNA (676 nucleotides) under Serratia endosymbiont of Gargara genistae. RNAcentral's name for it is "bacterial SSU rRNA". It matches the Rfam family "Bacterial small subunit ribosomal RNA", at positions 666 to 1341 of the family's 1533-position model. Lineage: Bacteria; Pseudomonadati; Pseudomonadota; Gammaproteobacteria; Enterobacterales; Yersiniaceae. The record is from RNAcentral.
UUUCCAGGUGUAGCGGUGAAAUGCGUAGAGAUAUGGAGGAAUACCGGUGGCGAAGGCAGCCCCCUGGACUAAAACUGACGCUCAGGUGCGAAAGCGUGGGGAGCAAACAGGAUUAGAUACCCUGGUAGUCCACGCUGUAAACGAUGUCGAUUUGGAGGUGGUGCCCUUGAGGCGUGGCUUCCGGAGCUAACGCGUUAAAUCGACCGCCUGGGGAGUACGGCCGCAAGGUUAAAAUUCAAAUGAAUUGACGGGGGCCCGCACAAGCGGUGGAGCAUGUGGUUUAAUUGGAUGCAACGGGAAGAACCUUACCUGUUCUUGACUUCCAGGGAACUUUCCAGAGAUGGUUUGGUGCCUUCGGGAAUUCUAAGACAGGUGCUGCAUGGCGGUCGUCAGCUCGUGUUGUGAAAUGUUGGGUUAAGUCCCGCAACGAGCGCAACCCUUUUCCUUUUUUGCCAGCGGUUCGGCCGGGAACUUUAAGGAGACUGCCAGUGAUAAACUGGAGGAAGGGGGGGAAGACGUCAAGUCAUCAUGGCCCUUACGAGCAGGGCUACACACGUGCUACAAUGGCAUAUACAAAGAGAAGCGACCUAGCGAGAGCAAGCGAACCUCAAUAAAGUCUGUCGUAGUCCGGAUUGGAGUCUGCAACUCGACUCCAUGAAGUCGGAAUCGCUGGUAA